AGAACAAAGGCUCCGCCCAUUUCCAUGGCUCAAGGUGGUUAGUGGUUCAAGCGCCCCGACAAAAAAAAAGAAGAAAAGAGCACAAAAGAUUUUCUUCGAAAAAUCGCCACACCACCACGAAUUGAAAUCGAUCGAUUUGCGAACACUCAACUGAAAACAAUCAAAAAAUGCUGGAAAUAUCACCAUGGGAGACGUUGGUUAAGCUCUUGACAGAUUCAUUACUCAAUUGUACAGGAACUCAUGAAGAUGUACCACAUGCAAAAACAUUUCUUAGAUCGCUCACAACCACAUAUAUUGCCUCGCUGGCCGUGGCAACUGCAGUAACCGUGGGUACAGUAUGCCUUGCAGUUCUACAUCUCAUCUACAUUCACUUCUACAUCACACAUUCCAGUAGACGACUGCACAUUGUGCUUCUGGCAUGCACUGCGCCGCUAGUUUCCCUACUUGCACUUGUGGCAAUGUACAUGCCACGUGUAUGGUUUUUGUCUCAUCUUCUCUCGUUUCUCUAUUUUUCGUUUGCUCUCUGGGUCAUCAUAUGUCUACUUUUACACAUAUUCGAUGGACAUCAUGCCCUUGUCACGAAAAUGAUGCAGCGAUUACAGUAUGUUGAGAUAGCAACACCUCCAUUCUGUUGCCUAUUUCCAUGUCUUCCAAAAGUCCGACUGGAAGGAAAAAAGAUAAGAUGGUGUGAGCUGAUGGUAAUGCAAGCGCCGAUCGUUCGCUUAUUUGCCACACUUGUCUCGCUUGUAAUCUACUUUGAAUAUCAAGAUCAGGGCCUUGUCCCACUAAAAGUGCUCGACUUUAUCACACUUCCAUCUCUUUUGGCAGGAAUCUACGGAACUCACAUAUUAGUCACAACGGUUUCUCGGAUGGAUGAAUUAAUCUCGUACAGAUAUGUUGUUGUAUUCCGUCUUCUUGAUUUCUUCUUCAUGGUGUUCGGAUUGCAACAACCAGUUUUUGAUUUUCUCGCGAGAUAUGGAGCAUUUGGAUGUGGUACUGUACUUCCAGCAAUUGAGACUUCUUUCUGUGAGUUUGAAUUAAAUAUUACUCAGAUGCGAAGUUUUUGCGAUUUUUGCGCCAGGUCUCGGCGCGAAAAUUUUUUGUUAAAUGCGAGAAGGUGUUCUCCUUUAAAGAGUACUGUAAUUCCAAACUUUCGUUGCUGCGGGAUUUUCAUCGAUUUUUCUUAGUUUUUCUCUGGAAAAGUAAUAGAAAGUACACAGCAAAAAAAGUUUGAAAUUACAGUACCACUCUUUAAAGGCCCACAUCCUUUCGCAUUUAACAAAAAUUUGUCGUGUCGAGACCAGGUACCGUACUUUCGGAGUAAAAAUCACAAAACUUCGCGAUUGAAUAAAAAAAAAAUCGAAUUAUCAUUAAAUCCAAUUUAAUUGCAGACUGGAAGAACUUCUUCACAGUAAUUGAAGCAUUCUGUGUCACAUUAAUCAGCACUGUACUUCUACAACCAUCAAAAUCAUCAUUCUUUGACAAACAUCCAAGCUGCCGAUCGAUGAGCUCUGCGCGGAGCACAAUAACUGAUGUGGACACUGACGAGUCGACCACUUGAGAAUAUUAUCAUUUUCUUCAUAUACAAUAGCUUUUCCCCCUACUUUCUCAAUCCGUGAUCCUCUUCCACUUUCUAUUGCAUUUUCUAGUCAACUGAUGUCAACUAACUUUUCAUCCCUUUGUCUCACCCGUUCGUCCUGUGUGCAAAAUGUCUUUGCUGGAAUUUGCAACAACCGAAAAUUUAAAAAUCCCAAAACGUGUAGAACCUCAACCCCCAGAAAUGGAAAUAAACAUUUUCGAACUCAAUA
Caenorhabditis elegans is the source of this 1808-nucleotide RNA transcript. It is a transcript of the gene named Non-coding transcript of protein-coding gene osta-2, with no coding region annotated. The record is from RefSeq and is marked reviewed. Lineage: Eukaryota; Metazoa; Nematoda; Chromadorea; Rhabditida; Rhabditidae. The transcript is spliced from 7 exons.